UUUCCGUAGGUGAACCUGCGGAAGGAUCAUUAAUGUGUUUGGGCUUCACGGCUCUUCAUUCCGACGCUGUGCGCCUUCGGGCUGCAUGCUGAGGGAGCUUGUAUCCACCCUUGUGCACACACACGGUGGCGAGCCGGGUAACGGCUCGCCUCUGACCUUUACACAAGUCUAUGUGUCAUUGUAUUUAUAUUUAAGUAAUAGACACAACUUUCAGCAACGGAUCUCUUGGCUCUU
RNAcentral lists this unclassified non-coding RNA (234 nucleotides) under plant metagenome. RNAcentral's name for it is "partial contains small subunit ribosomal RNA, internal transcribed spacer 1, and 5.8S ribosomal RNA". The record is from RNAcentral.